GGCGGACGGGUGAGUAAUGCCUAGGAAUCUGCCUGAUAGUGGGGGACAACGUUUCGAAAGGAACGCUAAUACCGCAUACGUCCUACGGGAGAAAGCAGGGGACCUUCGGGCCUUGCGCUAUCAGAUGAGCCUAGGUCGGAUUAGCUAGUUGGUGAGGUAAUGGCUCACCAAGGCGACGACCCGUAACUGGUCUGAGAGGAUGAUCAGUCACACUGGAACUGAGACACGGUCCAGACUCCUACGGGAGGCAGCAGUGGGGAAUAUUGGACAAUGGGCGAAAGCCUGAUCCAGCCAUGCCGCGUGUGUGAAGAAGGUCUUCGGAUUGUAAAGCACUUUAAGUUGGGAGGAAGGGUUGUAGAUUAAUACUCUGCAAUUUUGACGUUACCGACAGAAUAAGCACCGGCUAACUCUGUGCCAGCAGCCGCGGUAAUACAGAGGGUGCAAGCGUUAAUCGGAAUUACUGGGCGUAAAGCGCGCGUAGGUGGUUUGUUAAGUUGGAUGUGAAAUCCCCGGGCUCAACCUGGGAACUGCAUCCAAAACUGGCAAGCUAGAGUAUGGUAGAGGGUGGUGGAAUUUCCUGUGUAGCGGUGAAAUGCGUAGAUAUAGGAAGGAACACCAGUGGCGAAGGCGACCACCUGGACUGAUACUGACACUGAGGUGCGAAAGCGUGGGGAGCAAACAGGAUUAGAUACCCUGGUAGUCCACGCCGUANACGAUGUCAACUAGCCGUUGGGAGCCUUGAGCUCUUAGUGGCGCAGCUAACGCAUUAAGNNNACCGCCUGGNNNNNNCGGCCGNCAGG
This 800-nucleotide ribosomal RNA is filed under the name uncultured bacterium. RNAcentral's name for it is "bacterial SSU rRNA". It matches the Rfam family "Bacterial small subunit ribosomal RNA", at positions 97 to 893 of the family's 1533-position model. The record is from RNAcentral.